This 229-nucleotide ribosomal RNA is filed under the name uncultured bacterium. RNAcentral's name for it is "partial 16S ribosomal RNA". It matches the Rfam family "Bacterial small subunit ribosomal RNA", at positions 118 to 347 of the family's 1533-position model. The record is from RNAcentral.
UGGGCAACCUGCCCUCAGCUCUGGGAUAACUCCAAGAAAUUGGUGCUAAUGCCGGAUGUGACCGCUGACCGCAUGGUCUGGUGGUGGAAAGAUUCAUCGGCUGAGGAUGGGCCCGCGGCCUAUCAGCUUGUUGGUGGGGUGAUGGCCCACCAAGGCGACGACGGGUAGCCGGCCUGAGAGGGUGACCGGCCACACUGGGACUGAGACACGGCCCAGACCUCUACGGGAG